RNAcentral lists this long non-coding RNA (586 nucleotides) under Selaginella moellendorffii. RNAcentral's name for it is "long non-coding RNA (SMOE_LNC000669)". Lineage: Eukaryota; Viridiplantae; Streptophyta; Lycopodiopsida; Selaginellales; Selaginellaceae. The record is from RNAcentral.
UUCUUUUAACCCUUUUCAAAAAUGAUGUACGAAGAACAAAAAAAGCUUGUCCAUGGACUAAAGUUUCUGGCGCGGCUACGAGGACGAACUCGCUCGCGAGGAAGAGAAUGCGGGGUGUGAUAUGUGCGUUCUAGUUUUUAACUGCUGCUCCUUGAAUGAAGAUGCAGGAAGAGUCUACCGUUUGCAAGGCCAGGCGAUUGAUGGAGGAGCACAGAAACCAAGAGACAGAGGGACGUGGCCACGAAGCCAACAAGAGGUUCGACAAUGUGAUCAGUUUCUUUCUAGCCCGGGGGUGUGUCCGAGCUCGGCCCCGAAGGUUCAAUUCUAGAAGAAAUAUUUCUAAAGUCCGGCGUCUGAAGCAUUCCCAUGGGAUGACUGUUGUCUCCUGCACCACAAUGCAUAAAUAAGGGCAUACCUUUGUGGCUCUUAAGCUCUGCGAUCGGGAUUUUCCUUUUCCCACGACGCUCUUCUUUGACCUUUACUCGCGUGGCCUCUCUUCAAAGCAUGGCAAACCUGUAAAGCAACACGUCCUGAAUUAUUGUUUAAUCUACAUUAGGUACUCGAGCAAGAAAAUUCAACCAGGGUG